This 403-nucleotide ribosomal RNA is filed under the name uncultured bacterium. RNAcentral describes it as "partial 16S ribosomal RNA". It matches the Rfam family "Bacterial small subunit ribosomal RNA", at positions 28 to 526 of the family's 1533-position model. The record is from RNAcentral.
GAUGAACGCUGACGGCAUGCUUAACACAUGCAAGUCGACGUGGCUGCCGGGUGCGUAACGCGUAAAGGACUUGCCUCACAGAUGGGGACUACAUUUGGGAACGAAUGCUAAUCCCUGAUACUGUGAGAGGGCUUUGCGUCCCAUUAGCUAGUUGGAGAGGUAACGGCUCUCCAAGGCGAUGAUGGGUAGCCGGCCUGAGACGGGGAUCGGCCACAAGGUGACGGGGACGCCGCCCGUACGCAGACGUGAGGAAGGAGUGGGGAAUAGUGGACAACGUACCAAAGUCUGAAGAAGGAAUUCUGGGUGCAAGAUGAAGUUUUCGGAAGGAAAAGGGCUUUCAGUUUGGAAGCAGUACCAACAGAAGAAGCGACGGCUAAAUACGUGCCAGCAGCCGCGGUAAUAC